Caenorhabditis elegans is the source of this 54-nucleotide non-coding RNA. The record is from Ensembl. Lineage: Eukaryota; Metazoa; Nematoda; Chromadorea; Rhabditida; Rhabditidae.
AUAUUAUAUAUAUAUAUAUACAUCAUAUAUUAAUAUAUAUAUAUAUAUAUACCU